UACUGUAUUGCGUGUUCAUGUUUAUACAUCUCGAAAUGUUCAUAUAUCGUAUUAUACCGUACAUAGUAGUUGGCGGCCAUUUUAUUGGAAACGUUUACGACGAACGACCGUUGUAACGUACGGAUUCGUGAUGUCCGUCGACGUACGUUCUCACGAGGUUCGACGACAGGAGACCCCUGAUUUCGUCUUCUCUGAUCCUAAUGUGUCUGUUUUUGGAAUGCGUGAAGAGGCGACCCACGCGAGCACGCCAAGAACAAGAGAACUCCACACACCAAGACUGGAGCCAAGAUUCGAACUUCAAACCACACAACUGUGAGGCUGACGUACCAGCCACACAACACAAAUGAUGCAGUAACACAUGUAGACAGACAAUAUAACAAUACGCCCAUGCAUAUGUUCUUUAUCCCCUGAGAGAAACAGCAAAUAUUACUGCAGAUACAGAACAGAAUAAUUGAUUUCAUUCAUUUCCUUGGGGAAAUCUGAUUCAAGAUUAAAUUAAACCUGUAUCUCAAGGCACCACUGUACUUGAAAUCUACUUUUAGAUUUCAUAAAUACAGUAACCGCCCCACAUCCCCACCCCUCCAUGGUUUGUUCAAGGUUCACAGUACUGUACCACAAUGUCACCGAUUUUUUUUUGUGCAGUUAAUAAUGCUAGUUUACAUUGGGUGUAAUUCCAACAUCAACCACUAGAUGACAGUGAACUCGUUGAGUUUGAGUAUUUUGAAAGAACAAAAAUGAAAUAGGAAGUGUUUCAACAGAGCCUAGUUUCUUGUUGUCAACUAUUGAAUGAGAUCUCAUGUCAUCCUGCUUUUUCUGCCGACAGAAUGUGACGGCUCGAGUUUCAUUCCAUAAUGAUUGCUGAUUUAUAAUGAUUAUUGAU
Molecule: long non-coding RNA, 880 nt
Organism: Hippocampus comes (tiger tail seahorse)
Lineage: Eukaryota; Metazoa; Chordata; Actinopteri; Syngnathiformes; Syngnathidae
Exons: 2
Source: RefSeq, a predicted model, not a curated record